GAGUACCUACGGGAGGCAGCAGUGGGGGAUAUUGCACAAUGGGGGAAACCCUGAUGCAGCGACGCCGCGUGGGCGAAGAAGUAUUUCGGUAUGUAAAGCCCUAUCAGCAGGGAAGAAGAAAUGACGGUACCUGAGAAAGAAGCACCGGCUAAAUACGUGCCAGCAGCCGCGGUAAUACGUAUGGUGCAAGCGUUAUCCGGAUUUACUGGGUGUAAAGGGAGCGCAGCCGGCACGGCAAGCCUGAUGGGAAAGCCCGCGGCCCAACCGCGGGCCUGCAUUGGGAACUACCG
RNAcentral lists this ribosomal RNA (290 nucleotides) under uncultured bacterium. RNAcentral describes it as "partial 16S ribosomal RNA". It matches the Rfam family "Bacterial small subunit ribosomal RNA", at positions 333 to 638 of the family's 1533-position model. The record is from RNAcentral.